Molecule: long non-coding RNA, 1065 nt
Filed under: Capra hircus (goat)
Lineage: Eukaryota; Metazoa; Chordata; Mammalia; Artiodactyla; Bovidae
Description: lncRNA (ENSCHIG00010002679.1)
Source: RNAcentral
UGUGCCUCAGUAGCUGGUAGUAUUCAGCAAAGAGCUGUGGAUUUGGAGCCUAAGCUCUCAGAGAGCCAUAAAAGGAUCAUAUGAAGGACAAGUUUAGAAAGGCUUUAAGUCACAAAAUAGUAUAUAGAUGUUGUAUGGUAUUCUAAUAGCACCCCUCUCUACUAGAGCCCCCCCCACAACACACACACACAUGAAUUUAAAUGUCAAUAUUGUUUCCUCUGGUCAGCAUGAGCAACACUAUUUUACGAGGAGUCCUUUAACAUCAGGAUUUCCUCCCAUUAUUUUAGCUGACAUUAGUUGGUUGUCAUAUUGUUGGAUGUGACAUUUUCCUGAAAUUCUGAGUUAAUGUACUUUCAUAGAAUUGUUAGAUUUCUGGCUUGCUUUCUUUUUUAAGAAUCAUAGAAGAAGAAGGAGAAAAAAAAAUCAAAAGGUAGAAGACCCUGUACCAUCCACUUAGGACAGUCUAAGUAAAAGGCAAAUGCAAACUUAAUAGAAUAUAUAAAUUUUAAAAUAGAAAUGGGCAUUUUAAAAUUUAAAGUGGAGAAAGUUUCGUUAUUGCACUCCUAUCUACCUUUGAAAUGGAUUUCUACAGAGUUUCUUCUUUUAUGAGGGAAGAAGGUUACUAUGAAGCUGGAAGUCAAGUGUGGUGAAUUUCAGCCACAGGACAGGUGUAGGGAGAUGUGAAGGGGAGCAAAACAAAAGUCAUUUUGUGGUAAGAACCUGUGGAUCAUCACCCUCGACCCUCUCAGGGAAGAAUAGACAUUCCUAUCAUGAUGUAGACUCUUGCAGAGAUUUUAUCAGACCCCAGGAGAGGCUCAGCUCAGGUAAGCUGGUGGAUCCAUGACACGUUCCCCGCCUGGGCCAUCACGUUAGAGUUCACAGCCUGCCCCAAACAAGGGGAUAGUUUGGGAAGACUCAUGGGGACAUUUCUUGUAAAGAUCCCUAGCUAGCCACUUGGGUUCUUUCUCGCAUGCUUUUCCCAUUGUACCUUCACCACUAAGCUUGGUCUCUGGCAUAACAACCUAUCUAGACCUGGUUUCCAGGCUGUGUUAGUUGCUCAGUCGU